This 463-nucleotide unclassified non-coding RNA is filed under the name Hevea brasiliensis (rubber tree). The record is from RNAcentral. Lineage: Eukaryota; Viridiplantae; Streptophyta; Magnoliopsida; Malpighiales; Euphorbiaceae.
CAGAGAUCUACCCAGAACUGGAGAGAAUUGUGUUGGCACAGACUCGUGAUUGUCUUAAAAAGCUGAUCACUUUAGGAGAAAUAAAAGAAAAAAAAUGUUCUUUAAUGGUGCGAGAUACCGAUUCAGGUAGACAAAACAAUGUGAGCAGCAAUGGUGUUGUCAAUACUGUUCCACCUCCUCCACCACCACAGCAGAAGGUUGACUCUGGAACUACUGCUGCUAAUACCACACGUCCUAAAGUUCAUCCCCCAGAUGGAAAAUAGGGACGUGAAAGAAAAAUCUGAAAAAAACUGUAAAAAUUUUUAGAAUGAGAUUUAUCUAUAGAUGCUGAGUCUUUGUAUUGUUGGGCUUUUCUUCUUUGGGUUUCUCUUCGAUGCUGUGACAAAGUAAUUUCAGGCCUCCCGUUAGAAGUAAGCAGCCCUACUGAUAUAACUUUUUGCUACAAUAUUUCCUUGGUAUAAGG